AGUGAACGCUGGCGGUAGGCCUAACACAUGCAAGUCGAACGGCAGCACAGUAGGAGCUUGCUCUUACGGGUGGCGAGUGGCGGACGGGUGAGGAAUACAUCGGAAUCUACUUUUUCGUGGGGGAUAACGUAGGGAAACUUACGCUAAUACCGCAUACGACCUACGGGUGAAAGCAGGGGAUCUUCGGACCUUGCGCGAUUGAAUGAGCCGAUGUCGGAUUAGCUAGUUGGCGGGGUAAAGGCCCACCAAGGCGACGAUCCGUAGCUGGUCUGAGAGGAUGAUCAGCCACACUGGAACUGAGACACGGUCCAGACUCCUACGGGAGGCAGCAGUGGGGAAUAUUGGACAAUGGGCGCAAGCCUGAUCCAGCCAUACCGCGUGGGUGAAGAAGGCCUUCGGGUUGUAAAGCCCUUUUGUUGGGAAAGAAAAGCAGCAGGUUAAUACCCCGCUGUUCUGACGGUACCCAAAGAAUAAGCACCGGCUAACUUC
This 489-nucleotide ribosomal RNA is filed under the name uncultured bacterium. RNAcentral's name for it is "partial 16S ribosomal RNA". It matches the Rfam family "Bacterial small subunit ribosomal RNA", at positions 29 to 504 of the family's 1533-position model. The record is from RNAcentral.